GAAAUAUUUUUUAGAUUAAAAAUAUAAUAAGGCUAAAAAAUAUUGAAAUUGUUAUGGUUUUAAAAUUAAAGGUAUUUUAAGAAAUAUUUUAAAUCAAAGAGGAUAAAAUUGUCAAAUUUAAAACCCAGUAGUCCACUAGCUCUUCUUCCGGUGGAAUUCAGCCCCUUUGUGUGGGCCAAAUGACCUAAUCGCACCAUGUCUAUGGUAUCCAAACACUUGGAUUGGGAUAGACUAAGUCCCUGGUGCCCUGCCUUUCUUAGUAAGCUAAGCCUCUAAUCCAGCCUUGUAUUUGAAAGAAGUCCCAGGGGGUAGAAUAGUAAUAAGCAAGCUCACGCUCAUGCCCUACCUUGUCUCCGUAAGCUAACUUGCAAACCUUUCUUUUUACCCAACUUAGGAUAAAACUCACCCGUAACCUGCAUUGUGUCCUUAAUCAAGUGAGAACCCUACACGUGCUAGCGAACCCGCUAUCAAGUCGGCCUAUGAGCCAACCAAUGAGGCAACGAGCAAACCCUUUUUUCUUGGGUGAUAGAAAGCUAGCCCCUACCAGCAAGUAAGCGUGCUAGAUCUAUUUAAGUUUAAGUUUAAAUGAAAGAACCUAAAAAAGGAAUUUUUUUCAUUUCAGUCAGUCACCUGGUGCUAUUUUAAAAGGAUGGAGUAAGAAAGUAGAAUAAGCACAGUUAGCAAGAUCCCCUGCUAUUUCAGCUGCCGUUGAAGGAAGAACCGAUGUUCUUGCUCGAGUUGAAGAAGUGGAUGCUGAGAGUGAGAUUAAAGUAAAAAGUAGCAUAAACGCACUAAACUGAUGGUUUAGUGAAAUCCAAACAGGCUCUAAGAGAUGAUAUAUCGUAGAUUUAGGAAUCAAAUUUGAACACCUAAAAUCAUUUUUUUUUUAUUUUCAAGUUGCAGGCUCUUUAUAAAAAAAUAUAGUUCAUUCAUAACUUAAUCUCAGCCUAACCAUUUUUAAGUGUUUUAAAGGUCUAUUUGGAAUGGAAGUAAAAUUGAAAAUAGUGAUGAAGG
This 1014-nucleotide long non-coding RNA is filed under the name Durio zibethinus. RNAcentral's name for it is "long non-coding RNA (DZIB_LNC002142)". Lineage: Eukaryota; Viridiplantae; Streptophyta; Magnoliopsida; Malvales; Malvaceae. The record is from RNAcentral.